GGGUCUGUAGCUCAGUUGGUUAGAGCGCUCGCCUGAUAAAGCGGGAGGUCCCUGGUUCGAAUCCAGGCAGGCCCA
RNAcentral lists this transfer RNA (75 nucleotides) under Candidatus Acetothermia bacterium. Its description in RNAcentral is "tRNA-Ile". It matches the Rfam family "tRNA". Rfam says of the family: Transfer RNA (tRNA) molecules are approximately 80 nucleotides in length. Their secondary structure includes four short double-helical elements and three loops (D, anti-codon, and T loops). The record is from RNAcentral. Lineage: Bacteria; Candidatus Bipolaricaulota.